Molecule: ribosomal RNA, 496 nt
Filed under: uncultured bacterium
Lineage: Bacteria
Description: partial 16S ribosomal RNA
Rfam family: Bacterial small subunit ribosomal RNA
Source: RNAcentral
AUGAACGCUGGCUGCGUGCCUAAUACCUGCAAGUCGAGCGAACAGACGAGGAGCUUGCUCCUCUGACGUUAGCGGCGGACGGGUGAGUAACACGUGGAUAACCUACCUAUAAGACUGGGAUAACUUCGGGAAACCGGAGCUAAUACCGGAUAAUAUAUUGAACCGCAUGGUUCAAUAGUGAAAGACGGUUUUGCUGUCACUUAUAGAUGGAUCCGCGCCGCAUUAGCUAGUUGGUAAGGUAACGGCUUACCAAGGCAACGAUGCGUAGCCGACCUGAGAGGGUGAUCGGCCACACUGGAACUGAGACACGGUCCAGACUCCUACGGGAGGCAGCAGUAGGGAAUCUUCCGCAAUGGGCGAAAGCCUGACGGAGCAACGCCGCGUGAGUGAUGAAGGUCUUCGGAUCGUAAAACUCUGUUAUUAGGGAAGAACAAAUGUGUAAGUAACUAUGCACGUCUUGACGGUACCUAAUCGGAAAGCCACGGCUAACUACGUG